UCUUGGUCAUUUAGAGGAAGUAAAAGUCGUAACAAGGUUUCCGUAGGUGAACCUGCGGAAGGAUCAUUAAAGAAAUUUAAUAAUUUUGAAAAUGGAUUUUUUUGUUUCGGCAAGAGCAUGAGAGCUUUUACUGGGCAAGAAGACAAGAGAUGGAGAGUCCAGCCGGGCCUGCGCUUAAGUGCGCGGUCUUGCUAGGCUUGUAAGUUUCUUUCUUGCUAUUCCAAACGGUGAGAGAUUUCUGUGCUUUUGUUAUAGGACAAUUAAAACCGUUUCAAUACAACACACUGUGGAGUUUUCAUAUCUUUGCAACUUUUUCUUUGGGCAUUCGAGCAAUCGGGGCCCAGAGGUAACAAACACAAACAAUUUUAUCUAUUCAUUAAAUUUUUGUCAAAAACAAGAAUUUUCGUAACUGGAAAUUUUAAAAUAUUAAAAACUUUCAACAACGGAUCUCUUGGUUCUCGCAUCGAUGAAGAACGCAGCGAAAUGCGAUACGUAAUGUGAAUUGCAGAAUUCCGUGAAUCAUCGAAUCUUUGAACGCACAUUGCGCCCCUUGGUAUUCCAGGGGGCAUGCCUGUUUGAGCGUCAUUUCCUUCUCAAACAUUCUGUUUGGUAGUGAGUGAUACUCUUUGGAGUUAACUUGAAAUUGCUGGCCUUUUCAUUGGAUGUUUUUUUUCCAAAGAGAGGUUUCUCUGCGUGCUUGAGGUAUAAUGCAAGUACGGUCGUUUUAGGUUUUACCAACUGCGGCUAAUCUUUUUUUAUACUGAGCGUAUUGGAACGUUAUCGAUAAGAAGAGAGCGUCUAGGCGAACAAUGUUCUUAAAGUUUGACCUCAAAUCAGGUAGGAGUACCCGCUGAACUUAAGCAUAUCAAUAAGCGGAG
Molecule: ribosomal RNA, 878 nt
Filed under: uncultured fungus
Lineage: Eukaryota; Fungi
Description: eukaryotic LSU rRNA
Rfam family: 5.8S ribosomal RNA (bases 432-585)
Source: RNAcentral